Molecule: ribosomal RNA, 446 nt
Filed under: uncultured bacterium
Lineage: Bacteria
Description: partial 16S ribosomal RNA
Rfam family: Bacterial small subunit ribosomal RNA
Source: RNAcentral
CCUACGGGUGGCAGCAGUCGAGAAUCAUUCACAAUGGGGGAAACCCUGAUGGGGCGACGCCGCGUGGGGGAAUGAAGGUCUGCGGAUUGUAAACCCCUGUCAUGUGGGAGCAAAUUAAAAAGAGAGUACCACAAGAGGAAGAGACGGCGAACGCGGGGCCAGCAGCCGCGGUAAUACAGAGGUGUCAAGCGUUGUUCGGAAUCACUGGGCGGAAAGCGUGCGGAGGCUGUUUCGUAAGUCGUGUGUGAAAGGCGCGGGCUCAACCCGCGGACUGCACCUGAUACUGCGAGACUAGAGUAUUGGAGCGGGAACCCGAAUUCUCGGUGUCGCCGUGAAAUGCGUAGAUAUCGCGCGGAACACUCAUGGCGAAGGCGGGUUCCUGGACAUUAACUGACGCUGAGGCACGAAGGCCAGGGUAGCGAAAGGGAUUAGAUACCCCAGUAGUC